GUAAAACUCAAAAUUCAGAAUCCAAAAAGUUGAUCGCAACUCGCAAGGAAACUCUCAUUCUCUCUCACCGUGACUGUUUGACCAGGCUACUUAAGAUGAGUGACGAAGAACCUGUGGUAGAUCUUCAUGAAGUAGAAGAUUAUCACGAUUUGAUAGAAGUAGAUGCAAUAGAAGACGUACUUGUUAGUAUGAGGAGUUUUAAAAAAAAGCCUCAGAAGCGUAGGAAGACAUCGGAUGUUUGGAAUUAUUUGAUCCCCUUCCUAGUACGUGUCCAAAUGAUGACAAGCUGCGGGCCAAAUGCAAGUAUUGUGAUGCUAUAUACGUGGUUCUAGGUGCAUAAGGUACUGGAAAUCUAAAGCGUCACAUAAAAAAAUGCUCGAGGAGAAAUACACGCGAUGUUGGGCAGCUGCUCAUGUCCCAAAAUCAAGGGUCUUUGUUUUUGCCUCAGAAUCCACUUUUAGUGUUGGUGGGCGUGUAAUUGAUCAAUUUAAGAGUUCACUCAAGCCAGAUGUCGUUGAGGCACUAGUUUGCACUAGAGAUUGGUUAUAUGGAGAGCAAGAACACACACAAAUGAAGUUGGAUGAACUAGAAGAAGAUAUUAUGACAAUGGAUAUCAAUUCAGAGGACAUUUCAUCUAGUUCCAAAUCUGUUAUUAUUCCUUAACUUUGUUCUCAAAGAUACAAUUUCAACUCUGAAAGUGCAGUAAGCCAGUAAGUAGUAUGACAAUCCAACCGGUCAAUUGUGGAGCUAGCUGGCUGAGCCUCAGCCAAUGAUUAAAACCUAAUUUUGGGCAUAUUGUUAUGAUAUGAUAUGAAGGCUUAUCAUCCUUAAGCUUAAAUUUUG
This is a long non-coding RNA of Alnus glutinosa, 843 nucleotides long. RefSeq lists it as uncharacterized. The record is from RefSeq and is a predicted model, not a curated record. Lineage: Eukaryota; Viridiplantae; Streptophyta; Magnoliopsida; Fagales; Betulaceae. The transcript is spliced from 5 exons.